RNAcentral lists this ribosomal RNA (454 nucleotides) under uncultured bacterium. RNAcentral describes it as "partial 16S ribosomal RNA". It matches the Rfam family "Bacterial small subunit ribosomal RNA", at positions 341 to 792 of the family's 1533-position model. The record is from RNAcentral.
ACGGAAGGCAGCAGUGAGGAAUAUUGGUCAAUGGACGGAAGUCUGAACCAGCCAUGCCGCGUGCGGGAAUAAGGCCCUAUGGGUCGUAAACCGCUUUUGACGGGGAGCAAUAAGGCGUACGUGUACGUCGAUGAGAGUACAUCACGAAUAAGCAUCGGCUAACUCCGUGCCAGCAGCCGCGGUAAUACGGAGGAUGCAAGCGUUAUCCGGAUUUAUUGGGUUUAAAGGGUGCGUAGGCUGUGCGACAAGUCAGGGGUGAAAGCCCGCCGCCCAACGGUGGAACUGCCUUUGAUACUGUCGCGCUGGAAUACGGAUGCCGUGGGAGGAAUGAGUAGUGUAGCGGUGAAAUGCAUAGAUAUUACUCAGAACACCGAUUGCGAAGGCAUCUCACGAAUCCGUCAUUGACGCUGAGGCACGAAAGCGUGGGGAUCAAACAGGAUUAGAUACCCUGGUA